GACGGCGUACCCAAGUGGCUUAAGGGGGCAGCCUGCAAAGCUGCUAUUCGUGCGUUCAAAUCGCACCGCCGUCU
This is a transfer RNA of 74 nucleotides. It matches the Rfam family "tRNA". Rfam says of the family: Transfer RNA (tRNA) molecules are approximately 80 nucleotides in length. Their secondary structure includes four short double-helical elements and three loops (D, anti-codon, and T loops).